GACGAACGCUGGCGGCGUGCCUAAUACAUGCAAGCCGAGCGGAGUUAUUUUGAAAGCUUGCUUUCAAAAUAACUUAGCGGCGGACGGGUGAGUAACACGUAGGCAACCUGCCCCUUAGACAGGGAUAACUACCGGAAACGGUAGCUAAUACUGGAUAAUUUCUUUUUUCUCCUGAAGAAAGAAUGAAAGACGGAGCAAUCUGUCACUGAGGGAUGGGCCUGCGGCGCAUUAGCUAGUUGGUGGGGUAACGGCCCACCAAGGCGACGAUGCGUAGCCGACCUGAGAGGGUGAACGGCCACACUGGGACUGAGACACGGCCCAGACUCCUACGGGAGGCAGCAGUAGGGAAUCUUCCGCAAUGGACGAAAGUCUGACGGAGCAACGCCGCGUGAGUGAUGAAGGUUUUCGGAUCGUAAAGCUCUGUUGCCAGGGAAGAACGUCCGGUAGAGUAACUGCUAUCGGAGUGACGGUACCUGAGAAGAAAGCCCCGGCUAACUACGUGCCAGCAGCCGCGGUAAUACGUAGGGGGCAAGCGUUGUCCGGAAUUAUUGGGCGUAAAGCGCGCGCAGGCGGUCAUUUAAGUCUGG
RNAcentral lists this ribosomal RNA (587 nucleotides) under uncultured bacterium. Its description in RNAcentral is "bacterial SSU rRNA". It matches the Rfam family "Bacterial small subunit ribosomal RNA", at positions 28 to 592 of the family's 1533-position model. The record is from RNAcentral.